Molecule: ribosomal RNA, 407 nt
Filed under: uncultured bacterium
Lineage: Bacteria
Description: partial 16S ribosomal RNA
Rfam family: Bacterial small subunit ribosomal RNA
Source: RNAcentral
GACGAACGCUGGCGGCGUGCCUAAUACACGCAAGUAGGACGCAGUUGCGAACGGGUGAGUAACGCGUAGGUAACUACCAAUUAGAGGGGGAUAACUAUUGGAAACGAUAGCUAAUAACGCAUACUAGUAGAUGGACCUGCGUUGUAUUAGGUAGUAGGUAUGGUAAUGGCCUACCUAGGAAACGAUACAUAGCCGACCUGGGAGGGUGAUCGGCCACACGUGGAACGGGGAACGGCCCAGACUCCUACGGGAGGCAGCAGUAGGGAAGCUUCGGCAAUGGGGGGAAACCUGACCGCGCAACGCCGCGGGAGUGAAGAAGGUUUUCUGAUCGUAAAGCUCUGUUGUUAAGGAAGCGGUACUUAACCAGAAAGGGACGGCUAACUACGUGCCAGCCGCCGCGGUAAUAC